GGAUUUUAGUCAAUAGUCAAAGAGGUGCCUCGCAUGUAGGAUUGUAGUCAAUAAUCAAAGAGGUGCCUCACAUGUAGGAUUGUAGUCAAUAGUCAAAGAGGUGCCUCGCAUGUAGGAUUGUAGUCAAUAGUCAAAGAGGUGCCUCGCAUGUAGGAUUGUAGUCAAUAGUCAAAGAGGUGCCUCGCAUGUAGGAUUGUAGUCAAUAGUCAAAGAGGUGCCUCGCAUGUAGGAAUGUAGUCAAUUGUCAAAGUGGAGAAAUGGCACUUAAUUUAUACAUGUACAUGCGUUGUGUUUUCAAAUAACUACCUCUAGGUUAUUUGACUAACACGGUCUUUGACUAAAAGUAAAAACUGA
Long non-coding RNA from Dreissena polymorpha, 354 nucleotides. RefSeq lists it as uncharacterized. The record is from RefSeq and is a predicted model, not a curated record. NCBI's taxonomy places the organism in Eukaryota, Metazoa, Mollusca, Bivalvia, Myida, Dreissenidae. The transcript is spliced from 3 exons.